UGCUCCAGAAUAGCUCUUGGAAACGGGUGGUAAUGCUGGAUGCUCCAACUUGACGCAUGUCUUGUUGGGAAAGUGUUUAGUGGCAUGGGAUGGGGUCGCGUCCUAUCAGCUUGUAGGCGGGGUAAUGGCCCACCUAGGCUUCGACGGGUAGCCGGCCUGAGAGGGCGGACGGCCACAUUGGGACUGAGAUACGGCCCAGACUCCUACGGGAGGCAGCAG
This 219-nucleotide ribosomal RNA is filed under the name uncultured Gardnerella sp. Its description in RNAcentral is "partial 16S ribosomal RNA". It matches the Rfam family "Bacterial small subunit ribosomal RNA", at positions 134 to 354 of the family's 1533-position model. The record is from RNAcentral. Lineage: Bacteria; Bacillati; Actinomycetota; Actinomycetes; Bifidobacteriales; Bifidobacteriaceae.